GUCGACGCUUCUUUUUCCACCGGAGCUUGCUCCACCGGAAAAAGAGGAGUGGCGAACGGGUGAGUAACACGUGGGUAACCUGCCCAUCAGAAGGGGAUAACACUUGGAAACAGGUGCUAAUACCGUAUAACAAUCAAAACCGCAUGGUUUUGAUUUGAAAGGCGCUUUCGGGUGUCGCUGAUGGAUGGACCCGCGGUGCAUUAGCUAGUUGGUGAGGUAACGGCUCACCAAGGCCACGAUGCAUAGCCGACCUGAGAGGGUGAUCGGCCACAUUGGGACUGAGACACGGCCCAAACUCCUACGGGAGGCAGCAGUAGGGAAUCUUCGGCAAUGGACGAAAGUCUGACCGAGCAACGCCGCGUGAGUGAAGAAGGUUUUCGGAUCGUAAAACUCUGUUGUUAGAGAAGAACAAGGAUGAGAGUAACUGUUCAUCCCUUGACGGUAUCUAACCAGAAAGCCACGGCUAACUACGUGCCAGCAGCCGCGGUAAUACGUAGGUGGCAAGCGUUGUCCGGAUUUAUUGGGCGUAAAGCGAGCGCAGGCGGUUUCUUAAGUCUGAUGUGAAAGCCCCCGGCUCAACCGGGGAGGGUCAUUGGAAACUGGGAGACUUGAGUGCAGAAGAGGAGAGUGGAAUUCCAUGUGUAGCGGUGAAAUGCGUAGAUAUAUGGAGGAACACCAGUGGCGAAGGCGGCUCUCUGGUCUGUAACUGACGCUGAGGCUCGAAAGCGUGGGGAGCAAACAGGAUUAGAUACCCUGGUAGUCCACGCCGUAAACGAUGAGUGCUAAGUGUUGGAGGGUUU
RNAcentral lists this ribosomal RNA (800 nucleotides) under Enterococcus faecium. Its description in RNAcentral is "bacterial SSU rRNA". It matches the Rfam family "Bacterial small subunit ribosomal RNA", at positions 61 to 833 of the family's 1533-position model. Lineage: Bacteria; Bacillati; Bacillota; Bacilli; Lactobacillales; Enterococcaceae. The record is from RNAcentral.